GAAACUUAAAGGAAUUGGCGGGGGAGCACCACAACGGGUGGAGCUUGCGGUUUAAUUGGAUUCAACGCCGGAAAUCUUACCGGGACCGACAGCGAUAUGAAGGCCAGGCUGAAGACUAUGCCGGAUUAGCUGAGAGGUGGUGCAUGGCCGUCGUCAGUUCGUACUGUGAAGCAUCCUGUUAAGUCAGGCAACGAGCGAGACCCACGCCCACAGUUGCCAGCGUACUAUCCGGAGUGAUGGGUACACUGUGGGGACCGCCGCUGCUAAAGCGGAGGAAGGAAUGGGCAACGGUAGGUCAGUAUGCACCGAAUAUCCCGGGCUACACGCGAGCUACAAUGGUUGGUACAAUGGGUAUCUACCCCGAGAGGGGAUGGCAAUCUCCUAAAACCAAUCUUAGUUCGGAUUGAGGGCUGCAACUCGCCCUCAUGAAGCUGGAAUCCGUAGUAAUCGCGUUUCAACAGAACGCGGUGAAUACGUCCCUGCUCCUCGCACACACCGCCCGUCAAACCACCCGAGUAGGGUCUGAAUGAGAGCGCUUACCAAUCGGAGGCGUUCGAAUUUGGGCUUUGCAAGGGGGGUUAAGUCGUAACAAGGUAACCAAGGGCGAAU
RNAcentral lists this ribosomal RNA (609 nucleotides) under uncultured archaeon. Its description in RNAcentral is "bacterial SSU rRNA". It matches the Rfam family "Archaeal small subunit ribosomal RNA", at positions 851 to 1458 of the family's 1478-position model. The record is from RNAcentral.